Molecule: non-coding RNA, 103 nt
Organism: Russula dissimulans
Lineage: Eukaryota; Fungi; Basidiomycota; Agaricomycetes; Russulales; Russulaceae
Source: the annotation of a GenBank genome assembly
GGUCUUGUAGUGUAGUGGUUAUCACUCGGGAUUUUGACUACUGCUUGUUUGAGCAGGUGAUAACAAAUUUCCCGAAACCCAGGUUCGAACCCUGGCAAGACCU